UCCCUGAUGGUCUAGUGGCUAAGACUCUAUACUCCCAAUGCCGGGGGUCUGGGUUCAAUCCCUGAUCAGGGAA
Molecule: transfer RNA, 73 nt
Filed under: Bos taurus (domestic cattle)
Lineage: Eukaryota; Metazoa; Chordata; Mammalia; Artiodactyla; Bovidae
Also listed under: 1 other name
Rfam family: tRNA
About the family: Transfer RNA (tRNA) molecules are approximately 80 nucleotides in length. Their secondary structure includes four short double-helical elements and three loops (D, anti-codon, and T loops).
Source: Rfam by way of RNAcentral